GUUUGGUUAAGUUAGAAAGGGCGCACGGUGGAUGCCUUGACACUAGGAGUCUAUGAAGGACGGGACUAACGCCGAUAUGCUUCGGGGAGCUGUAAGUAAGCUUUGAUCCGAAGAUUUCCGAAUGGGGAAACCCACUAUACGUAAUGGUAUGGUAUCCUUACCUGAAUACAUAGGGUAUGGAAGACAGACCCAGGGAACUGAAACAUCUAAGUACCUGGAGGAAGAGAAAGCAAAUGCGAUUUCCUGAGUAGCGGCGAGCGAAACGGAACAUAGCCCAAACCAAGAGGCUUGCCUCUUGGGGUUGUAGGACAUUCUAUACGGAGUUACAAAGGAACGAGGUAGACGAAGCGACCUGGAAAGGUCCGUCGUAGAGGGUAACAACCCCGUAGUCGAAACUUCGUUCUCUCUUGAAUGUAUCCUGAGUACGGCGGAACACGUGAAAUUCCGUCGGAAUCUGGGAGGACCAUCUCCCAAGGCUAAAU
Molecule: ribosomal RNA, 482 nt
Filed under: Bacillus thuringiensis
Lineage: Bacteria; Bacillati; Bacillota; Bacilli; Caryophanales; Bacillaceae
Description: bacterial LSU rRNA
Rfam family: Bacterial large subunit ribosomal RNA
Source: RNAcentral